This 343-nucleotide unclassified non-coding RNA is filed under the name uncultured fungus. RNAcentral's name for it is "partial contains small subunit ribosomal RNA, internal transcribed spacer 1, and 5.8S ribosomal RNA". The stretch from base 1 to 73 matches the Rfam family "Eukaryotic small subunit ribosomal RNA", at positions 1759 to 1831 of the family's 1831-position model. Lineage: Eukaryota; Fungi. The record is from RNAcentral.
GCAAACUUGGUCAUUUAGAGGAAGUAAAAGUCGUAACAAGGUAACCGUAGGUGAACCUGCGGUUGGAUCAUUACAAAAUUUGGUUUUAUACCAAACCUUUGUGUGCACUUAUAUUAUGUCCCUGGUGGCCGCGGUUGUGGACGUGGACCCAAAUGGGUAUUUCGCCGCAGCGGGUCACCAAAUGGUUGUGCCAGGCCAAGUUUCUUCUUGGUCGUUUUGGACACAUCCUUUUGAACAAACUUUAAUGUAUUUAUUUGCUGUCUGAUUUGAUUCAUUUUAUGUGAAUUUAAAAACAACUUUUGACAACGGAUCUCUUGGCUCUCGCAUCGAUGAAGAACGCAGC